Molecule: long non-coding RNA, 220 nt
Filed under: Oryza brachyantha (malo sina)
Lineage: Eukaryota; Viridiplantae; Streptophyta; Magnoliopsida; Poales; Poaceae
Description: long non-coding RNA (OBRA_LNC003327)
Source: RNAcentral
ACCAUGGCCGUUAGUAGAUUUCUCCUCACACUUUGCUUCAUACAACAUGCCGAGUAUCAGCAAUGUUUUUAAAAUCUCUGACAGAGUAACACCAUCACUGAAAUAAGAACUCCUGAUGUCUCCUAGGCCAACAAAGCAAAAACCAAGUAUAGAAUAUCAACCGAGUUCGCUGCAUAGUUGGAGUGGCCUGAUUUGACUCUGUGAAGGGUUGCUCAUCUUU